This 1489-nucleotide ribosomal RNA is filed under the name Lactiplantibacillus plantarum. RNAcentral describes it as "bacterial SSU rRNA". It matches the Rfam family "Bacterial small subunit ribosomal RNA". Lineage: Bacteria; Bacillati; Bacillota; Bacilli; Lactobacillales; Lactobacillaceae. The record is from RNAcentral.
GACGAACGCUGGCGGCGUGCCUAAUACAUGCAAGUCGAACGAACUCUGGUAUUGAUUGGUGCUUGCAUCAUGAUUUACAUUUGAGUGAGUGGCGAACUGGUGAGUAACACGUGGGAAACCUGCCCAGAAGCGGGGGAUAACACCUGGAAACAGAUGCUAAUACCGCAUAACAACUUGGACCGCAUGGUCCGAGUUUGAAAGAUGGCUUCGGCUAUCACUUUUGGAUGGUCCCGCGGCGUAUUAGCUAGAUGGUGGGGUAACGGCUCACCAUGGCAAUGAUACGUAGCCGACCUGAGAGGGUAAUCGGCCACAUUGGGACUGAGACACGGCCCAAACUCAUACGGGAGGCAGCAGUAGGGAAUCUUCCACAAUGGACGAAAGUCUGAUGGAGCAACGCCGCGUGAGUGAAGAAGGGUUUCGGCUCGUAAAACUCUGUUGUUAAAGAAGAACAUAUCUGAGAGUAACUGUUCAGGUAUUGACGGUAUUUAACCAGAAAGCCACGGCUAACUACGUGCCAGCAGCCGCGGUAAUACGUAGGUGGCAAGCGUUGUCCGGAUUUAUUGGGCGUAAAGCGAGCGCAGGCGGUUUUUUAAGUCUGAUGUGAAAGCCUUCGGCUCAACCGAAGAAGUGCAUCGGAAACUGGGAAACUUGAGUGCAGAAGAGGACAGUGGAACUCCAUGUGUAGCGGUGAAAUGCGUAGAUAUAUGGAAGAACACCAGUGGCGAAGGCGGCUGUCUGGUCUGUAACUGACGCUGAGGCUCGAAAGUAUGGGUAGCAAACAGGAUUAGAUACCCUGGUAGUCCAUACCGUAAACGAUGAAUGCUAAGUGUUGGAGGGUUUCCGCCCUUCAGUGCUGCAGCUAACGCAUUAAGCAUUCCGCCUGGGGAGUACGGCCGCAAGGCUGAAACUCAAAGGAAUUGACGGGGGCCCGCACAAGCGGUGGAGCAUGUGGUUUAAUUCGAAGCUACGCGAAGAACCUUACCAGGUCUUGACAUACUAUGCAAAUCUAAGAGAUUAGACGUUCCCUUCGGGGACAUGGAUACAGGUGGUGCAUGGUUGUCGUCAGCUCGUGUCGUGAGAUGUUGGGUUAAGUCCCGCAACGAGCGCAACCCUUAUUAUCAGUUGCCAGCAUUAAGUUGGGCACUCUGGUGAGACUGCCGGUGACAAACCGGAGGAAGGUGGGGAUGACGUCAAAUCAUCAUGCCCCUUAUGACCUGGGCUACACACGUGCUACAAUGGAUGGUACAACGAGUUGCGAACUCGCGAGAGUAAGCUAAUCUCUUAAAGCCAUUCUCAGUUCGGAUUGUAGGCUGCAACUCGCCUACAUGAAGUCGGAAUCGCUAGUAAUCGCGGAUCAGCAUGCCGCGGUGAAUACGUUCCCGGGCCUUGUACACACCGCCCGUCACACCAUGAGAGUUUGUAACACCCAAAGUCGGUGGGGUAACCUUUUAGGAACCAGCCGCCUAAGGUGGGACAGAUGAUUAGGGUG